AGCGCAGGCGGUCUUUUAAGUCUGAUGCGAAAGCCUUCGGCUUAACCGGAGAAGUGCAUCGGAAACUGGGAGACUUGAGUGCAGAAGAGGACAGUGGAACUCCAUGUGUAGCGGUGAAAUGCGUAGAUAUAUGGAAGAACACCAGUGGCGAAGGCGGCUGUCUGGUCUGUAACUGACGCUGAGGCUCGAAAGCAUGGGUAGCGAACA
This 207-nucleotide ribosomal RNA is filed under the name uncultured bacterium. RNAcentral's name for it is "partial 16S ribosomal RNA". It matches the Rfam family "Bacterial small subunit ribosomal RNA", at positions 568 to 774 of the family's 1533-position model. The record is from RNAcentral.